This 506-nucleotide ribosomal RNA is filed under the name uncultured bacterium. RNAcentral's name for it is "bacterial SSU rRNA". It matches the Rfam family "Bacterial small subunit ribosomal RNA", at positions 8 to 507 of the family's 1533-position model. The record is from RNAcentral.
AGAGUUUGAUCAUGGCUCAGAUUGAACGCUGGCGGCAUGCUUUACACAUGCAAGUCGAACGGCAGGCACGGGGGCAACCUGGUGGCGAGUGGCGAACGGGUGAGUAAUAUAUCGGAACGUACCCGGAAAUGGGGGAUAACGUAGCGAAAGUUACGCUAAUACCGCAUAUGCCCUAAGGGGGAAAGCGGGGGACUCGCAAGAACCUCGCGUUUUCGGAGCGGCCAAUAUCGGAUUAGCUAGUAGGUGAGGUAAAGGCUCACCUAGGCGACGAUCCGUAGCUGGUCUGAGAGGACGACCAGCCACACUGGAACUGAGACACGGUCCAGACUCCUACGGGAGGCAGCAGUGGGGAAUUUUGGACAAUGGGCGCAAGCCUGAUCCAGCCAUGCCGCGUGAGUGAAGAAGGCCUUCGGGUUGUAAAGCUCUUUCAGCCGGAAAGAAAACGCACGGGUUAAUAACCUGUGUGGAUGACGGUACCGGAAGAAGAAGCACCGGCUAACUACGUG